GUAACAAGGUCUCCGUUGGUGAACCAGCGGAGGGAUCAUUACUGAGUUUACGCUCUACAACCCUUUGUGAACAUACCUAUAACUGUUGCUUCGGCGGGUAGGGUCUCCGUGACCCUCCCGGCCUCCCGCCCCCGGGCGGGUCGGCGCCCGCCGGAGGAUAACCAAACUCUGAUUUAACGACGUUUCUUCUGAGUGGUACAAGCAAAUAAUCAAAACUUUUAACAACGGAUCUCUUGGUUCUGGCAUCGAUGAAGAACGCAGCGAAAUGCGAUAAGUAAUGUGAAUUGCAGAAUUCAGUGAAUCAUCGAAUCUUUGAACGCACAUUGCGCCCGCCAGCAUUCUGGCGGGCAUGCCUGUUCGAGCGUCAUUUCAACCCUCAAGCUCUGCUUGGUGUUGGGGCCCUACAGCUGAUGUAGGCCCUCAAAGGUAGUGGCGGACCCUCCCGGAGCCUCCUUUGCGUAGUAACUUUACGUCUCGCACUGGGAUCCGGAGGGACUCUUGCCGUAAAACCCCCCAAUUUUCCAAAGGUGA
This 531-nucleotide ribosomal RNA is filed under the name fungal endophyte. RNAcentral describes it as "eukaryotic LSU rRNA". The stretch from base 214 to 367 matches the Rfam family "5.8S ribosomal RNA". The record is from RNAcentral. Lineage: Eukaryota; Fungi.